This 713-nucleotide ribosomal RNA is filed under the name uncultured bacterium. RNAcentral's name for it is "bacterial SSU rRNA". It matches the Rfam family "Bacterial small subunit ribosomal RNA", at positions 777 to 1496 of the family's 1533-position model. The record is from RNAcentral.
AUUAGAUACCUGGUAGUCCACGCUGUAACGAUGAUACUAGGUGUGGGGGCUGAGCCUUCGGUGCCGCAGCAAACGCAAUAAGUAUCCCACUGGGGAGUACGUUCGCAAGAAUGAACUCAAAGGNUUGACGGGGACCCGCACAAGCGGUGGAGCAUGUGGUUUAAUUCGAAGCAACGCGAAGAACCUUACCAAGCCUUGACAUCCCCUNGACAGGGUAUGUAAUGUACCCUUCCUUCGGGACAGGGGAGACAGGUGGUGCAUGGUUGUCGUCAGCUCGUGUCGUGAGAUGUUGGGUUAAGUCCCGCAACGAGCGCAACCCNUACGGCCAGUAGCCAGCAGGUAAAGCUGGGCACUCUGGCGGGACUGCCGGGGAGAACCCGGAGGAAGGCGGGGAUGACGUCAAAUCAUCAUGCCCCUUAUGGCUUGGGCUACACACGUGCUACAAUGGCGUAAACAAAGGGAGGCGAAGCUGUGAAGCGGAGCAAAUCCCAAAAAUAACGUCUCAGUUCGGAUUGUAGUCUGCAACUCGACUACAUGAAGCUGGAAUCGCUAGUAAUCGCAAAUCAGCAUGUUGCGGUGAAUACGUUCCCGGGUCUUGUACACACCGCCCGUCACACCAUGGGAGUUGGAAACGCCCGAAGUCAGUGACCCAACCUGAGAGGGAGGGAGCUGCCGAAGGCAGGGCCGAUAACUGGGGUGAAGUCGUAACAAGG